Molecule: transfer RNA, 75 nt
Filed under: Deltaproteobacteria bacterium
Lineage: Bacteria; Pseudomonadati; Myxococcota; Myxococcia
Description: tRNA-OTHER
Source: RNAcentral
UGGGGCGUCGCCAAGCGGUAAGGCACGGGUUUUGAUCCCCGCAUUCGGAGUGUCUGAAUCCUCCCGCCCCAUCCA